RNAcentral lists this ribosomal RNA (498 nucleotides) under uncultured bacterium. RNAcentral's name for it is "partial 16S ribosomal RNA". It matches the Rfam family "Bacterial small subunit ribosomal RNA", at positions 29 to 507 of the family's 1533-position model. The record is from RNAcentral.
ACGAACGCUGGCGGCGUGCCUAAUCCAUGCAAGUCGAGCGAAGUUUUUCUGGUGCUUGCACUAGAAAAACUUCGCGGCGAACGGGUGAGUAACACGUAAAGAACCUGCCUCAUAGACUGGGACAACUAUUGGAAACGAUAGCUAAUACCGGAUAACAGUAUUUCUCGCAUGAGAGAUAUUUAAAAGUUGGUUAUGCUAACACUAUGAGAUGGCUUUGCGGUGCAUUAGCUAGUUGGUGGGGUAAAGGCCCACCAAGGCGACGAUGCAUAGCCGACCUGAGAGGGUGAUCGGCCACACUGGGACUGAGACACGGCCCAGACUCCUACGGGAGGCAGCAGUAGGGAAUCUUCCGCAAUGGGCGAAAGCCUGACGGAGCAACGCCGCGUGAGUGAAGAAGGAUUUCGGUUCGUAAAGCUCUGUUGUUAGGGAAGAAUGGAUAUGUAGUAACUAUACAUGUAAGAGACGGUACCUAACCAGAAAGCCACGGCUAACUACGUG